UACGGGGGGGGUAAGCGUUGUUCGGAAUUACUGGGCGUAAAGGGCUCGUAGGUGGCCGACUAAGUCGGACGUGAAAUCCCUCAGCUUAACUGGGGAACUGCGUCCGAUACUGGAUGGCUUGAGUUUGGGAGAGGGAUGCGGAAUUCCAGGUGUAGCGGUGAAAUGCGUAGAUAUCUGGAGGAACACCUGUGGCGAAAGCGGCGCACUGGACCACAUCUGACGCUGAGGCGCGAAAGCUAGGGGAGCAAACAGG
Molecule: ribosomal RNA, 253 nt
Filed under: uncultured bacterium
Lineage: Bacteria
Description: partial 16S ribosomal RNA
Rfam family: Bacterial small subunit ribosomal RNA
Source: RNAcentral